UACGAGGGGGGCAAGCGUUGUUCGGAAUUACUGGGCGUAAAGCGUGCGCAGGCGGUUAUGUAAGACAGAUGUGAAAUGCCCGGGCUUAACCUGGGAACUGCAUUUGUGACUGCAUGGCUAGAGUUUGGCAGAGGGGGGUAGAAUUCCACGUGUAGCAGUGAAAUGCGUAGAUAUGUGGAGGAACACCGAUGGCGAAGGCAGCCCCCUGGGUCAAGACUGACGCUCAUGCACGAAAGCGUGGGGAGCAAACAGG
RNAcentral lists this ribosomal RNA (253 nucleotides) under uncultured bacterium. RNAcentral's name for it is "partial 16S ribosomal RNA". It matches the Rfam family "Bacterial small subunit ribosomal RNA", at positions 524 to 776 of the family's 1533-position model. The record is from RNAcentral.